This 322-nucleotide ribosomal RNA is filed under the name uncultured Spirochaetota bacterium. RNAcentral's name for it is "bacterial SSU rRNA". It matches the Rfam family "Bacterial small subunit ribosomal RNA", at positions 28 to 351 of the family's 1533-position model. Lineage: Bacteria; Pseudomonadati; Spirochaetota. The record is from RNAcentral.
GACGAACGCUGGCGGCGUGGAUUAGGCAUGCAAGUCGAACGGUAGAAGACCUUUCGGGGUCUUUGAGAGUGGCGAACGGGUUAGUAACGCGUAGGUAAUCUACCCUCAAGCGGGGGACAACCCAGGGAAACCUGGGCUAAUACCGCAUGUGUCCGUAAGGAUAAAGCCGGCCUCUGAAUAUGCUGGUGCUUGGAGCUGAGCCUGCGUCUGAUUAGCUAGUUGGUGGGGUAACGGCCUACCUAGGCGAUGAUAAGUAGGCGGCUUUAACGAGUGGUCGCCCACACUGGGAUUGAGAUACGGCCCAGACUCCUACGGGAGGCUG